Long non-coding RNA from Chrysemys picta bellii (western painted turtle), 2639 nucleotides. RefSeq lists it as uncharacterized. NCBI's taxonomy places the organism in Eukaryota, Metazoa, Chordata, Testudines, Emydidae. The record is from RefSeq and is a predicted model, not a curated record.
CAGGAGUGGGUGGGUGAGAUUUUGUGGCCUGCAAUGUGCAGGAGGUCAGACUAGAUUAUCAUGAUGGUCCCUUCUGACCUUGAAAUCUAUUCAAGUACUCACAGUGAGUUCAUUUGUGUGACUCAUGGUGAGUAAAGGUGCAGAUUGGGCCCAAAUUAGUAUUGCAGUUUUAAAGAAAAUAAGUAUUUGAAUCCAGAUAUAGGCUAAAUAUAUACAGUAGAUGACAACGUUGAUCAUAUACAUUAGCAAUAUAGUCGUAGGCCAUGGAACGUGAGAACAGUUCCUCCUACCUUCCCACCUAUCAACAAUCCUUUGAGAUUGUCCUGAAUCAAAAUCCUGGAUCCAAAUAACCUCAAACUCUGCAGGAGUACAGAAUCUGAACCCUGAAUCCAGGUCUAAAUUUUCAAAUGGGGACCCUGUCUUCAUAAUGGUCAAGUCAAAGACCCAGAUCUUAAUCAAUGUCAUAUUUUGAGGGUAGUUGGAUGUGAUUCAAAAUCCAGGUCCUUAUCAAAAUUUUGCUUUGUCUGCCAUUAUGCUACCCAUUCACUUAGUUUUAUUAGGUCCCUGCUGGACUAAAGUGUUAAUUGUUAAUGCCAGCUCAGUGCAGUGAAUGAGAUUAUUAUGCAUGUCUGCAAAAUAGGAUAUGAUUGGGUUUGGACAUUUUUAAGAUGCUAGGAAAGAAGAAAGAACUGUACCCUGAGCCAAAGUCACCACUACUGAACCCUAUUUUAAACAAAAUAAGUAUUAAACAUUUUUUUAAAACAUGUUCAGUUAUUGCAAUCCUCUUUUUACUUCUUGAAUUAUAUGUGGUUACAUACACACAAACACUCACCCAGAGACAGAAACUUCUGUGGGUAUAAAUAUUUCAUUUCACAGCUAAGUUGCUGUGCUGCUUAUACUGCCCUACUGUACGUUUCAGCAAUUUUUCACUCAAGUGGACAGCAUGCAAUUUUCAACUUUCUCAGGGCAGCAGUAAUUUGUACUCCCCCUUUUUUAUGAUUUGUUCAAAGCCUUUUUGAUGAAUAUGCCCAUUAUUCAUCUUAGAGCUAGAUUGGACCAUUUAGCAGCCUAACUUUCUUCCCUUUUUGGAGUUGUACAUCUCUUAGGAGCUUAAAAGUGAAGAAGAGUUCACCGCAUUAGCCACAUUUGGGAGUGGAAACACAACUUUAAUGGAUGUCACACAAAAAAAGGAGAGAAGGUGAACGAGGAAGAAUAGAAGCUUAGGAUGGAUAUCUUAAAGAUCAAGUAUGAAUGUGGAAAGCCCUGUUUAGUACAUGGAAGCUCGUGGCAUUUUGACAUAGAAGAACAAAAUCUGUUGUAAAUCUCUAAGGAGGAUCUUCCUUUUUGUGACUGAGUGACUAUUGUUUCCAAGCCUUCAAAUGUUAUCAAACAGCCCACAGUUCAUCAAUAGAAAUACAGUAUAAGCAUUUUUGUGGGCCAGAUCCUUGCCUGGAGUAAAUCAAUGUAGCUCUAUCAGUUUAAAUUGAGCUAUUCUGUGUCAUACCAGCUGAGGAUAUUGACUUGUGUGAUCUGAGGUAAACAUGUUCAUGAAGGCAAUUUUUUCCUUGGCUCCAGAAUGCCGUUUAGAGCUGGAGCAAGAACAGAAACGAACUGUCUGAAAGUUCUAAGUCAAAACUUAAAAUUUAGAAAGAAGUUCUUUUGAAAAAUAGAGCCAGACUCUCUGCUGGAAUAAAUUGGCAUAGUUCCACUGAAGUAAAUGGAAAUGGUGGCAUGUUUCACAGCAAACAAUUGUAAUCAAUGACGCUAAUCAAUCUAUACCAACUGAGGAUCUGACCCUUUAUAUUUAUAAUAAUAUAUUAGACUUCUUUUUUGUUUCAGUAUUUAAAGUUUCCUCUCCCUUGUUUAUUUCCUACAAAAAUGGAGCUGGUCAAAUAGUACAAAUUUGUGAAUAUUUGCAUGCUGAGUUUGGUCUGCUAUGGUUCAUGGAAUCCCAUUAUAUGUCAUUCGUGACUAUUCCAAUGUGCGCUGUGUAUUAUAACAAUAUCAUAAAUAUGGAAAUGUUUGAAAAUUCUAGUAUGCAUAAUUGAUAAGUUGUCUGAAAAUUUGUACCAGAAGUUAAUUCUUCCUUAUUCUGUCUUUGAUAUUCCCCUGUUUCCAAAGUUUACAAAGUUUUAAUCAUCCAAUCAAGGAUUGGACCCAAUCCUCCAUUUUUGUACAAAAGUAGCAAGUUCUGCAAUGGUUUAUUCUUACAUACUUUGACCAGUUCAUUGAAGUCCCAGGUCUCAGCAGAUGCUAUUGUUAUUAAUAGGAAUUGAUGGUUGCUGAGCAUUUUUGAAAAUCUCACUACUUAAUUUAGGUACCAAAAUGUGAGCUGAGCUCUCUCGAUAAUCUGGCCUCUGUUGUGGGUGCUAGAUCCUAAAUUUAAUGGUAAUGUGGUCAAACACUGGGAAAAGUUUUCUGAAUAAAUUAUUCUGAAUUGUUUGAAGCCAGCAAAAAUUGUUUAUUUGGAUAUUAUUUAACUAUCUACAGAGUUGGUUGAAUAGUGGAAACAGGUAUAUAAGGAUAGAUUAUUCAACAAUUGAUGUAAAAAUAAUCAGACUAUUUGUGAGUGCUUUUUGACCAGUUCUAUUAGUUGUACAGUUUACACAGUACACCAUUAAAAAUUACAAGGAUAUUUA